UUUGAGGUGGGUUUCUUGGUUGCAACAGGUUUUUGAGAACCAACGAUGGGUAUAAUUCUGCGUAUGUCAUAGGAGUAGGGUCAAAAGAGACCUUCUUCCUCUCAAAGUUUUGUUGUUGUUGAAGAUGAUUGUUGGUAUUGUUUUUGUUGUAGGUGUUUGUUUGUUGUUGUGGUUGUUGUUUUUGGUGUUGUUGUUAUUGAAUUCGUGUCGACUGAUUGUUAGAAAAUACUGGGAUCACAGAUGAUACUUGAUGAUGGUGUUGACGGGGUGGUUGAUUUCUUCUUACAUGAGGCGUCCUUUGCCUCCCAACGGACACUGCAUUAGUCUCAGCUUCCUUCUUCUUACCAAAACUAUUACCAUACCUCUUGCUGGUAGACGCCUCCUCCUUAGAUAACCGUCCCUCUCGGAAACCUCCUUCUAGCCUCAUCCCCAUGUUUACCAUCUCAGUAAAAUCAUUGGGGGCAUUAGCGAUCAUCUGCUUAUAAUAAAAUGAGCUCAGGGUCUUGAGGAAGAUCUUAGUCAUCUCCUUCUCUUCCAAAGGAGGGGUAAUCUGAGCGGCAAGCUCUCUCCGUCUCUGAGCGUACUCCUUAAACGUCUAUUUAUCCUUCUG
RNAcentral lists this long non-coding RNA (610 nucleotides) under Lathyrus oleraceus (garden pea). RNAcentral's name for it is "Pisum sativum (pea) long non-coding RNA (PSAT_LNC012213)". Lineage: Eukaryota; Viridiplantae; Streptophyta; Magnoliopsida; Fabales; Fabaceae. The record is from RNAcentral.